AUUGAACGCUGGCGGCAGGCCUAACACAUGCAAGUCGAACGAGUGGCGGACGGGUGAGUAAUGUCUGGGAAACUGCCCGAUAGAGGGGGAUAACAACUGGAAACGGUAGCUAAUACCGCAUACUAUCGGAUAAACCCCUAUGGGAUUAGCUAGUUGGUGAAGUAAUGGCUCACCUAGGCGACGAUCUCUAGCUGGUCUGAGAGGAUGAUCAGCCACAUUGGGACAGAGACACGGCCCAGACUCCUACGUGAGGCAGCAGUGGGGAAUAUUGCACAAUGGGCGAAAGCCGGAUGCAGCCAUGCCGCGUGUAUGAAGAAGGCCUUAGGGUUGUAAAGUACUUUCAGCGGGGAGGCGUUACCCGCAGAAGAAGCACCGGCUAACUACGUGCCAGCCGCCGCGGUAAUAC
This 406-nucleotide ribosomal RNA is filed under the name uncultured bacterium. Its description in RNAcentral is "partial 16S ribosomal RNA". It matches the Rfam family "Bacterial small subunit ribosomal RNA", at positions 30 to 526 of the family's 1533-position model. The record is from RNAcentral.